This 69-nucleotide transfer RNA is filed under the name Piprites chloris (white-winged piprites). RNAcentral describes it as "tRNA-Trp". It matches the Rfam family "tRNA". Rfam says of the family: Transfer RNA (tRNA) molecules are approximately 80 nucleotides in length. Their secondary structure includes four short double-helical elements and three loops (D, anti-codon, and T loops). The record is from RNAcentral. Lineage: Eukaryota; Metazoa; Chordata; Aves; Passeriformes; Pipridae.
AGAGACUUAGGUUAACAUAAACCGAAGGCCUUCAAAGCCUUAAACAAGAGUUUACCCUCUUAGUUUCUG